RNAcentral lists this unclassified non-coding RNA (253 nucleotides) under uncultured Parcubacteria group bacterium. RNAcentral describes it as "contains 16S-23S intergenic spacer region". It matches the Rfam family "Bacterial small subunit ribosomal RNA", at positions 524 to 776 of the family's 1533-position model. The record is from RNAcentral.
UACGUGAGCCCCGAGCGUUGUCCGGAAUUACUGGGCGUAAAGCGUCUGCAGGCGGUUGUGUUAGUCGGGUGUUAAAUAUACGGGCUCAACCCGUAUGCUGCGCUCGAAACGGCACGACUAGAGGAUGUGAGAGGUGAGUGGAACUUACGGUGUAGGGGUGGAAUCCGUUGAUAUCGUAGGGAACACCAAAGGCGAAGGCAGCUCACUGGCACAAUCCUGACGCUCAGAGACGAAAGUGUGGGUAGCGAAUGGG